This 83-nucleotide transfer RNA is filed under the name Candidatus Troglogloeales bacterium. RNAcentral describes it as "tRNA-Tyr". It matches the Rfam family "tRNA". From Rfam's summary of the family: Transfer RNA (tRNA) molecules are approximately 80 nucleotides in length. Their secondary structure includes four short double-helical elements and three loops (D, anti-codon, and T loops). Further hydrogen bonds mediate the characteristic L-shaped molecular structure. tRNAs have two regions of fundamental functional importance: the anti-codon, which is responsible for specific mRNA codon recognition, and the 3' end, to which the tRNAs corresponding amino acid is attached (by aminoacyl-tRNA synthetases). tRNAs cope with the degeneracy of the genetic code in two manners: having more than one tRNA (with a specific anti-codon) for a particular amino acid; and 'wobble' base-pairing, i.e. permitting non-standard base-pairing at the 3rd anti-codon position. The record is from RNAcentral. Lineage: Bacteria; Pseudomonadati; Nitrospirota; Nitrospiria; Candidatus Troglogloeales.
GGAGGGGUUCCCGAGUGGACAAAGGGGACAGACUGUAAAUCUGUUGCUUUAGGGCUUCGGAGGUUCGAAUCCUCCCCUCUCCA